CCUACGGGAGGCUGCAGUAGGGAAUUUUCGGCAAUGGGGGGAACCCUGACCGAGCAACGCCGCGUGAACGAAGAAGUUAUUCGUAAUGUAAAGUUCUUUUAACAGGGAAGAAAGAGAAAUUUGACGGUACCUGAAGCAUAAGCUCCGGCUAACUACGUGCCAGCAGCCGCGGUAAUACGUAGGGAGCGAGCGUUAUCUGGAAUUAUGGGGGGAAAAGGGUACGUAGAGGGAAUAGUAAGUCUUUUGUAAAAAUGCUGGGCUCAACCCAGUAGGGCAAAAGAUACUGCAAAGCUAGAGUAUAACAGAGAAAAGUGGAACUACAGGUGUAGCGGUAAAAUGCGUAAAGAUAUGGAAGAACACCAGUGGCGAAGGCGGCUUGCUGGGUGGAUACUGACAUUGAGGCGCGAAAGCGUGGGGAGCAAACAGGAUUAGAUACCCGUGUAGUC
This 446-nucleotide ribosomal RNA is filed under the name uncultured bacterium. Its description in RNAcentral is "partial 16S ribosomal RNA". It matches the Rfam family "Bacterial small subunit ribosomal RNA", at positions 338 to 795 of the family's 1533-position model. The record is from RNAcentral.